CCCAACAAGUCCGACUUACUCGCCUACCAGUCCAUCAUACUCACCCACAUCUCCGAGUUACAGCCCAACAUCUCCUAGCUACAGUCCUACAUCACCAAGCUACAGCCCUACAUCUCCUAGUUAUAGUCCUACAUCACCAAGUUACAGCCCCACCUCACCAGUUUAUAGCCCUACAUCUCCAGCAUACAGCCCUACAUCUCCCGCAUAUAGCCCCACAUCACCAUCUUACAGUCCAACUUCGCCAUCUUAUAGCCCUACAUCACCAUCAUACAGCCCAACAUCCCCCUCAUACAGCCCUACCUCCCCCUCAUACAGCCCUACCUCCCCCUCAUACAGCCCUACCUCCCCCUCGUACAGCCCAACAUCACCUGCAUACAGCCCUACUUCGCCAGGAUACAGCCCAACAUCACCGAGCUACAGUCCUACUUCUCCGAGCUACAGUCCUACUUCUCCGAGCUACAAUCCUUCAUCAGCCAAGUACAGCCCUUCGCAUGCAUACUCUCCAAGCAGCCCCCGGAUGACUCCAUAUAGUCAGACUUCUCCAAGCUACAGGUGCGCAUAAUUCUAUGAAGAUCUCUAUUCUUAGUAUUAUUGCCUCAAAGGGUACUCUGUCCAUACAUAUCUGUAUUGAAUGUUACUGUUUCUGUUAUCACAGUCCAACGUCACCGACAUACUCUCCAACGUCACCAUCAUAUUCACAACCAAGUCCAUCGUACAGCCCAACAAGGUGUGUGCCAUUCAGAUCCCAUUGCCUUUGGUGCAUCUUUAUAUAUAUGCUUGAAUAGUGGUGCAUUGCAGUACUAUUAUUUUGCUUGCUGUCGUUUGUCUUACAUAUUGCCCAACUAUUAAUGCAGCCCGUUCAACACCUCUGGAGGACCUAGCCCAGAUUAUAGCCCAACCUCUCCAAAUUACAGGCAAGUCAUUGUAGUAUCAGACAGAUAUCUACCUUUCGUGGAAGACAUCGUUUUGUGUUCUGACAAAUCUCAUUUUGUACGCUGCAGCCCUAGUGGAAGCUACUCCCCCACUGCACCGGGGUACUCCCCAUCGUCCACAGGCCAAGGUAAUGACAAGGAUGACGAGAGCAAUCGUUGAAGGCGCUGAAGGAACGGUGAUGGCUACAUGGGAAGAUCGAGCCUGCGGUGCCUCGCUUUUCGUUUCCCUUUUUCUCUAAUGUUUCUGUAUGGUUGAACUCUGAGAGUAAACUUAUUUUUCUUAAGCUGCUAAUAGCAGCGAGAGUUGUUUAUGUAUGAUACUAGAACUAAGGACUGAACUGUGCUGCGACUUGCUAAGUGGUUCACCGCAUGGUGGCCGUUCAGACUUCAGAGUAAAAAUAGUAACUGAUGAUGAUAAAAUCGUGACGGUAUUAUUGGUACUAUUAUGCUAUGAUUAUAUACCAUAAGAUCUAGUUUUCUCGUUGGAAUGUUGUGUUCCGGGCGUUUUUGGUAUUGCAUUGUUUCUUCUGGUUAAGUUUUAACUUAUUUGUCUGGAUUUUUGGAACUUGGAUUGAUUAUAUAAGUUGAUCGAAGUAGCACAUGGUCUGGGCUUAGUUUAGGCCCAUCUGAACAGAACUAUUGGGAAGGGAAUUGCCCUGCUUUCCUCACCAGACCAUCGCGCAUCCCAUCAAGGAUUCAUUCAAGUUCUCGUAAAGGCUUCCAAUUGUACUGCUGCUUGAUUGGUUAUUUGGAAAUUUGUCCGCAGAACCAUUGUUGCUUGCUUGCUUGUUUGUACUGUUGAUGCGGCCUAGUUGCUUUUACAAAAGCUGUGGUUUAAGUGAAGAAAGAUAAAAAGUUGGGAGGACGAUUGACAUGAGGGGUUUCAUCUUCCCUCCAACUGCAAGCCUUUACAAUGGAUGCCGAUCAAAUACGUCUUUGUACAAAUCUCACGAAGGCCACCAUCUUCAUGUAGCGACUUUUCUAAGAUUAGACAGAGGCCUCAGUGUGCAUCUGCGGUGUUAGUUAACUGCACUUGUGGAAAUGUAAAUCACAGAGUUACCUUUUUUUUUUCUUGUUAAUUUAGAUUUGGAAAAAAAUAUUCUCUUCUCAAAAUUUCUCGUGAACGUCGGGCCAUCUGACAUGCAAAGCCAGCCUUGUGAACUAAAAAUAUUCGCUUCUUCCUCCCGGCGAGUGGCACGCGGAUGCGUCACGCGUUGCUCUCGCGUGCAACCCAUCGUGUGAUAGAGUUUUCGAACCUUUAUGCGGGAUAUAUAGUCCGCAAUAUACAUUUUUAGUAGAUAGAGACUAUUAGUAUCUUGGUCAUAAUUAUUUCAAACGUUAAUUUUGACGAUCCUGGAAGGCUCAACGAAGAGCUCUACAUGAUUGUACUACGGAAACUGAUCUCAUUUAGGCUAGUGUGUCAAAAUUCACGAGACAAAUAUCCAACUCAUUUCGUUCUCUCUUUGUCCCAACUAGCUAGGGUCCAUGGUUCUUAUUACAGCAGUAUUAGUCAACGAACAACAUCCAAUUAAUGAUCAUCAUCUUUGCUUCUCAAGCAACCAUCUUAUUAUUAUAAUUAGUACGCGUACGUCCACAGCCGUAUAUAGUUGCGGGCAUGCUUUUGCUAUCUCAUAUCUCAGGCAUGUCAUUUUUCCAGCUUUACUUGGAAGUUGGAAGGUUAAAAUAGAGUGAUUUAAGCCUCUACUUUGCCUUAAGUCCUUAAUCACUUUCUUAAUCUUUCGAGAAGAAAAAAAAAACCCACUUUCUUCUUGGUGCCAGUACACUGCACACGUAAUUGUAUCUCUAGUAACUCCACAAAUUCUUGAAGCUAGCUAGAGCAAUGCCUCAUGGCCCACGCUUCUCGAGGUAGCAAUAGAAUGAUAUAUGGGACCUUAACACAAUUCUAUUCUGCCUAAUAAAAUUAUUACUAUAAAGUAGCAUCCUCUUCCAAGUAUGCCGUCACAGUAAGUAUGAUGCAUGUGUUUGGCGUGCAUAUAUACUAUGCAAUAGAAAAAGAAAAGAAAAGAAAUGUUGGCGAUGACAUGCAUGCAUGUUUAUCAGAAGUACAUCGCGAGCUAGCCUACGUGGAUCAUGUUUUCUUUUAGAUGGCUUUAUUUGCGUACGUGGAAUCUCGACGCAAGCAAAACGUACGCGGCAGUAGUAUAUAUAUUGUGAAUUGUGUGGCGGCGACUGUCACAAAAUGCAUGCUGAAAUUCAACACGCUGUAGUCCCCGAUCGACCGCCAACCCAAGGAGGUCCAGCCACGUGUACCGGAUGGGGCCCGCGGCCACCUGCAUUAUUCCAGCCACUAGCGCCCGCCACUAGGCCCGUUGACCUUUUGUGGAUUCCCCUGUUCAUGAGGUGAUCAAGCUAGCUAGCACACGCCAUGGUAUGUAAUGUACCGGGUGUUUCUCGUUCCUAGCUUGGUGCGUUUAGCCGUCAAAUCCCUCUCAAGUCUCAAGCUAACGUCUUGUUUACUUCGUCCAAAAUCUAAUUUUUUUUUUUCAAGAUUUUCCAUUCCCAUCGAUUCUUGCUGUGCUUAUAUGGAACAUUAAGUAUAGAUGAAAAAAGAUAACUAAUUGCACAGUUUAUCUGUGAUUUACAAGACGAAUUUGUUAAACUUAGUUAGUCUAUAAUUAGAUAAUAAUUAUCAAAUAUAAACGAAAAUACUUUAGUACCCAAAUUUAUAAAGUUUUUGGAUCUAUAAGGCCUAAGUGGCUAAAGGCUUAGCAACGACAAGUGCAAACCGGCUACCAUAUUUGUCCAAAAGCUAUAGCCUUGAGUCACCCACCGAGCUAGAGAUUCACAUGACACGAAGAAAAGAGAUAAAAAGGAGAAAGUAUAUUCGUGGAGAGCAUGCAAAACCAGCCUUUUGGAAAUAACAUACACACACUUUGGACCCGUUGUCGUAUGCAGAGUAGACAGCAGUUUCUGCAGCAUGCAAAUUGACUCGUGUUUUAUGAGGAAAAACAACAGUGCAUUGUGGCCAUGAAGCUUCGUAACAAGCGAUGUUGCAGCAGCAAGCCCACAAAGCUGUUCACCACCCGCAGACCGCCGCCUGAUGCAAUUGACUGUACGUAAGCUGGUAGCACUUUGCCGCACCCUGUCACAGGCUCACAGCAGCGACUCCAAUUAUUUAUUACAAUGCUUGCAAAAUAAACUUAUUUGUACAACUUCGUUUGUAUUUGACAAAUAUUAUCCAGUCAUGAACUAACUAGCCUCAAAAGAUUCGUCUCGUAAAUUACAGGCAAACUGUACAAUUAGUUAUUAAUUUUAUCUAUAUUUAAUGCUUCAUGCAUGCGUCGCAAGAUUUGAUGUGACGGAAAAUCUGAAUUUUUUUUAAAUUUUUUUAGGAACUAAAUAAGGCCUAGCUUCCAAUUCUAUCUUCAACAAUAGAUUUAUGAGUGAACCUAUUUUCAUUGUAAGGCUGAAUUGGUGUUGCCACCCAAUUCAAUUCCUCCGGGCUAACAUAUAUCUACGUCGAAACAGACCAUAAGAUUUCUAAAUCAGAUAGAUGUCCUUAGGUCCUUCAUUUUGAACCCAUGGUGCAGCGAACUGAGAUAUCUGGUUGUGUUUCUUACGGUGAAACCUAUUCACCUGGAUCCAAGUCCUCGACUUGACUCGGGUGCUCGUAUUUUUUUGAUUAAAUCUAUGACUAUGAUUUAUUGAUAACACUAUUUUUCCAGUGGUAGGCAACGUGUCUGUCGCCACCAAAAUAUUUAUGGUGACUUCGUCAAUCUCAAGAUUGUCCACAUGAAUAGGGUGUAUAUGCAUGUGUUUAUCAGGUGAGUAUACGCUCAUGUAUGUCUAAAAAAAAGAGUCGCGCCAACCAUGCAGUCAAGCCAAUGCAUUUAAUUAAGCAUAGUGAUGAGAUUGAGGGCCUGUUUAGAUCCCAAAUUUUUACAUCCCGAAACUUUUGGCUGUAAACUUUACAUUUAAAUAGAUGUUUAGAUGUUUCCUAAAUUUUUUGGUCUAUAAGACACAUGACACGGGUCCCUAAGCAAGUUUACACAGUUUUGGGACUCCAAGGUCCCAAAUUCCAAAUCUACGGCAAGUUUUACAAGCCCCUAUUUAGAUACAUUCUUCCAAAAAAUGCUCAUUUCUCCAAAAGUUUUGGCUGUUUAGCUGUAUCUAAACAGGCCCUGAGAUGGCCGGUGGACUCAAAGCGUCAGCCUUGAAUUCAUUUCAGGACUGCUCUUCUAAAAAGAUUGUCUCUGUUUGGAUCUAAAGUAUUUUUUUAGAGUUUUAGAAAAAUAACAUGGUUUUAGAAAAAUAUUCUAGUUUUAAAAUGCUAUGAAGUGUUAGAGUGUAACAAACUUUAUAGUUUUGAAUACGAUGGUAUGGUUUAAACUGUGUAGUCUUUUUUGGAGUUUUUAAAAAUCCACUCUAUACCUCUUUUUAUCUAAACCAUGGUUUUGCACCUACAUAAAUGGUUCUAAAACUACAAUUUCUUAAUACUACAACAUCCAAACAAAACUUUUCUGGAUUAAAAAAACUACAUGAAACAAUGAAAAUUAGGAACAGGCCGGUGGAAGACGCAGAUAUACCUAGCGUAGCCGCUUGGGUUUCUCAAGAGAGUCUAUUUUUUCGAAUUCAUUUUAAUGAAAACCUUAUCUUAGAUCUCUCUCUGUUCUACAAAUCCACACACCGUAUCAUAGAGACAUGCAAUGCAAAGUAGUGACACAAUACAGGUAGCAGGUUCUAUCUGGUUCACAGGUAACAUGCAUAGAACAGUAGUUUUUUUUUCCCCACACAACUAGCUAGUCCAUUCUAGAACAAAAGUAUAAAGACGAGGCCACGGUCAAAAGAAACUAAUUAAAACUCACCCAGACGAGCACGGGACCAGAUGAAGAGAGAAAAAAAAGAAGCUUUCUGCAAAUGAAUUGCACUUUGCACACGUGAGAUCGAGUGAGAUGGAUAGCAAAAGUGUGUUCUACAGACAGGACGUACGUGGUCGAUCUGGCUCCCACAAAUUAAGCACCGAAACACUUGCAAUGCAUGCAUUGUACCGCGGCCACUGCGUGCACGCCCGAUCGAUCCCGUCGUCGAUCGAUAGGCGACCCUCCUGAUCUAGACGUCUGUCUGUCUGCCUGCGCCGGCCACUGAAUAUACGUGCAUAUGCUUCUCACAUGCUGCUGCUGGCUGCACACAGCGAUGCUUCCGAUCGAUCAUCGAUCUUGUGGACGACGACGACGACGACGACGACGACCGGCACCACCACCUUUUCCGGCCACUAACAAGAAGCAGACGACGACCAUGCAUGGCCAGGGAGAGGUACCUACCACACCAGUCACAAGUUGCCUACAGCCUACAACUCUCUCCAGCCUCAAACUCCCAACGGCGGCUAGGCUAGCUAGUAGCUACCCCACACGCACCAACGGAACAACCAGCAGCCAAGGAUGCAUGCAUAUGCUAACUUGGCACGCCACGUGAUGCGUGGCGUGCCACGUUAACAUAUGCAUGCACAUCGUGUACGUGUGGCGGACACGUCACGCGCAAAGGCCAGUCGGGUAUUGACACAUCGGCAGGGGGAACGUACAGGCUUUGGGGCCUAGGGAUGAGCAUGAUUGUCCUCUCAGGAGCUGGAUCUAAUCAUGAUUAUACAUUAAGUGAUGCAUGGGCCAGGUUUAGUGGAUGAGGUCCCAUGCUGUCUGCUGGGGUACAUACUUGGAUACUCGGAUGAUGCAUGGUUGUGAUCGAUGCAGCAAAUGAAACCGAUCGAUAAUGGUGGCAUCAGCUCUCUCUGUGUCAUGUGUCGGCCGGAAAUCGCCUCCAUGAUUGGUUGGACUUGGACCCCCCUCCAUCUGCACCAGCGAUUUUCUCCAUUCAGUCUUUCAGAUCGUAUAGCCAUCUUUGGAAAAAUAUGGCACCUUUAUUAAUUUGACAGAGGAAAAAAAAUGCAUGCAUGCUUUUCUCUUCUUUGAUUUGACAUGCAUGUGUAAUGUGUUUUGUUGUUCAGUUGGAUUGUACAUUUUGUCUUGCACUGCAGCGCGCUGAAAUGCUAAUGAUGUCUAUACCACUUCAAAUACAGCUUCACUCUUUAUUUCCUGAUAGACACAGAUGUAUAAAUGUGGGUUUCCCUAAGGUGCCGUUUUGGAUCCUUUCAUUUCGAGAAAUUGAAAUCUACUCAACAAACUCAGCUAUUUGGCUUGGAAUUUGAUAUUCCUCCACUUUUCAAAGUUCACCUAUAAGUCUAUCUCAUCAUCAUAAGGUGGGAGAUGGAAAUUGAUUCUAUAGAUCACUAUGCUAUGUUUUUACUUUACAACUUAUAACACCAUCUUCAACUCGCUCUCCUACAGUAGAAAAUACGUAGAAGUAUCUCUCUCAUAUAGCCAACAAUAAUAUACAAAUAUAAUCCAUAUACAACCAUACUAGCUUAAUUCAUCAUAUGUGUCUAAAAAUUAUGAUUAUUAAAAUAAUUUCAGGCCUAAAGAAAAUGUGCUAUGCUAUAUUUCAGUCUUGUACUGCCCUGGACUUCUUUUGAUUUCUCUCAUUUUUUUUUCUUCCCUCUCUCCGUUGGUGAAAAAAUGCUGGCCAUUCAUCUGCUGACCACUUAUUAGGGAGCUGAGCCCACAUAAUCUUUUGAGGACAGUUGAUUGGAGGCUUGAGUUGACCCAUCUCUAUCAUUAUGUCUACAACAAUGUGUGCAAUAAUUAAGGUCUAAUGAAAAAGAAAGAAAAACUAGUAACAUGCAUUUGCUCAACUCCACUAUCUUCAAAAGCAAUAAAAUCUUGUGGCUUUAAUUUGACUAUUGAGGUCAUCCCUCCCGCAUAUGCACUGAACAACACAUACGGCUGACAGGGAUCCUCGUUACUCAGGGGGCCUUAUCAAUUUUCUGGAAAAAUAAUUGAGUUGACAAAAGUAUUCAAAAUUUGAGGUGUCCUCGCUUCCCCACCUGUUUUAGAAAAAAGAAAUAUAUUAAUAAUAUCUUAGUCUCUACAUCGAUCAAUAUAUAUAAUUGUUUCUUAUUACAAUCACCAAUACCACAACCUAACGUGAGAGGAGCUGCCUCAUAUGCACACCAAAAUGGCCAGCACGCUACACAAAGGGGAGAGAUCCGAUCGAUAGGCGCCUCCAAUGAAGAAUGCGGCGCCUGAAGGCAUUGCCAUCAUCAGUCUCGGGGAACAGCUUUCGCUAUGGUGCCUCACCCCGUGCGUGGCAUUGGCCAAUGUCCAUACUCACUAUGUCGGCAACCACCCAUCAGUGAAGCCGACAACCGGCCUCGCUGCCGCCAACCAUGCCCCUGGCAGUACUGCCGGCCGACAGACCAUAGAUCUAGCCCUACACAACAUUGCCGCACAUUGAAGUCACUGCAGACUGCCGCUGCUGGCUCUGGCGUCUGUCGUCGUUGCUAUUGGCCUCUGUUGAUUGCCUCAGGCACUCCACGGCUGGAUCCGCCCAGCCUAACUGCGGUAGGCAAGACCCGGUGGGAGGGGAGCCACCGCCAUCGCCUAGAGGUCCAGCCAGCGCACCCUCGCUAGAUCCUGGCGUGCCAUCUCUGUACCACCGAUGUGUGUCAUUGAGACCAGAUCUGGCCGCCAGAGGCGAUUUCGCCGUCCAUGAGUCCAAAUCUGAAGACCGGAGACCUCAAUAGUGAGGCAGCCACCUCCACCUCCAACGACCCCUCUAUGCUUCGCUAGAUCCACACAAUGCACCGGAUCGAGCCCUAGGAAGCCCAGCCACUGCCGUGCCUUGCCAUCGCCACCACUCAAUGUGCGUUGUUGCACUGCUCUUCUCCAGAAGCGCUAAGCCAUGGUUUUACCCCGGUCACAGCCUCACAGGGCAUCACACCAAGCUCUACGACUGGAAGCGCCCACCCGGGCCCUGGCCGGUGCCGCCACAACCGCAGGGGCAGCCCAGCCGAGUCCCACGCCGCUCAAUCUCGGUUGCACCCCACCGGACUGCAGCCACCCGUGCCACCAUACUACCAUCACACGAGAAUGGCCCGGCAUUACCAUCCCGACGAGCCGUGCUGGCCUUGCCAACAGCCUGCUCCUGCGGCGGUGCGGCAGGAGAGAGGAAGGAGGGUGGGGGCGACGGUGGCUCAGUGGGCACCUAGGUUGCUAGCGUGGGGGAUGACGCGGGGGCAAGGUUGAGUUGGGCACAAGGACAAAUGGAUGAUCCCUCGCUUCUCCACAUGUUGUUUUCUAAUAAAUAAAAAAUAUGAGUUUCAUGAGAGACAGAAAAUAGAAAUAAUAAACUGGGUUCAACAAUUAUGCGCCGGCUUUAAUUUAUGAUAAAUAAGCAUAUAGGCCCAAACCAACUCACUAACAAGUACAGAUGUAAACUGACUAGCUUCAAGUUAAAAAAAAUAAGAGUCUAAACUCAUCAAUCAUGAGAAUUUAGAAUAUAUCAAUAUGCAUGAUUUCCAUUGACAGUUUUUUGAGAGAGUGUUUUCACUGUUGGUGCAUAGUCACAAGAUGAGCUUAAAUACUUUAUUACCCAUCUCAAUAUAAAAGGUUUUGUAUGUGAACUGAGACUACAAUUUGGUUUGUAAGCAAAAUAAUCAUCUAGAGACAAGUAAACAAAGAGAUAAAACAAGGACUACAAAAAUCAUCCAGAAACAAAAUUACAUGAUAGAUUAACUUUAUAAAAUACAUAAUUUAUUUCAGUCUAUUAUAGUAGACAACUUUUAUGAUACUCUGAAUUGACCGUUCUUUUAGAAUAAACUUGAUCAAACUAAGGAUGGAUUGAAUUAGGACAAGUGAAAACCAGCAUGUAACGUCUUGUGGUGACACUAGAGCCACCCGAUUUCAUUUCCCCUAUGUCUACAACAAUUUGUGCAAUUAUAUAUAAGGUCUAGUGAAAAAGAAGAAAAACUAGUAACAUGCAUUUGCUCAAUUCCACUAUCUUCAAAUCAAAAGCAAUAAAAUCAUGUGGCUUUGACUAUUGAGGCCACACCUAGUGGGUACUGGGUAAAACAUUUUAUUUUUAUUUUUAUUUUAUUUUAUUUUAUUAUUAAUGAUUUACCACUCCUGAAAUUUAGUGGACCAGAUAUGUUUGAACUCUUAGCUCCUAGGAGGUAAUUGCAGUACCUUAUCAGUGCCCCAAAUUAUAACAUGACAGAAUUGACAUCCUGCAGAUAUGCUAUGUAUAUAUAUUAUAUCACUAGAUGCCACCAUCAUCAUCGAGCAUUUCCUUAUGCAUUCACGCCCUUCUCUUUCAGUGUUUGUUCUGUGGUAAUUACACAAUCAUAGUGCAAACGUCCAUCAUGAUGCACCCGUCGUUGAUGUGAAUGCAAAGUCUUCGGUAAAAGGAGUCAAAUUUGUAAUGGUGUUCGAUUAGAAUAUAUCCUACUGCAGAAAAGGUGAAUUUGAUAAACGGUGAAGCCUUUCAAGUUCCAUUGUAUAUGUCAUAUCACAGCUCCUCCAUGAGAGGCCUAUAAUUUGUUGAAAUGGUUUGCUUUGUUGUCAGCUAGUGCGAGGUGCAAGAGGAUAUUCCAUGGUUUUGUCUAAUUGUUAAAGACAAAAAAAAAAGUUGUUUUCCUCAGACUUCAUACAUUCGUCAGGUAUCCUGAGAUCCAACUGCAAGUUCCACAAACAUUGUAUCUAAACUGAGAGCUAAAGUUUCAGUAAUUCCACAAAAUCAUGUUUGAUAAGCUUAUGAGAUUGACACACUUAGUUCUCGAAUGUAUGUCAUCUGAAUUUGAACAGAAAUAAUUCUACUGCUAAGAUGGAAACCAGGCUGAGGCCAGAAUAAAAACUAGUAUACCCUUCUUCUAAAAUGAUGGAAACUAGGCGUUGGCUCCACAUGGAGAAAAAUGUCGUCACCGCUUAUCAUUAUCCAUGACAAUUGCUGAAAUCAUUUACAUUAUCGUCCAGAGAGUAACACAUAUAUUGUAGACAACUGAAUAGUGUUUCAGCCGAUUGUCAUCCAAGACCUUGUGUUGGCAUCUAAAUAGGAAGGAAAAGCAGCUUCAAAUUAAAAUAAUAAAAGAAACAGUUGGAACAUUAUAAGAACCUGUUAAAGACCAUUAGAAAAGAUUACCCAAAAGGAAGGAUGUCAUGGCGCCAAUUGUCAUGGUCUCUUAGAAAAAUAUGAAGCCACGAUGCUUUGUCGUUGUAACAUGCGUGCUAUUUGGUGGAGGCGAGAUGUGACAAAUUUUAUCUUGCUUUUUUUCCUGAUCAUAUAUUAUGUCGACACUGCAUGUGAAUGUGAUGGAGAUCUCCUAUUAAGCUUUGACUUCCAAAGUACCAAAUAUGUUUGUUAAUUUCCAUCUACACCAAUCAUGCAGUCCUGGGAAAAUAUGAAGACUUAUAAAGUGAACUUUUGAGUUAAAAACAGGGAGGUAGCUGCUGCUGAUGGAUGGCACACAAUGCAUUGUUAUCUUAAAUGUCUUCUACACCGCCAUUUGUAUCUCUACUUGACACAUAGUAAUUUACAUUUUCAGAAGCCAUGACACAUCACAAGUCUACUAGAACAGCGAAAUCUCCAAGAAUGAGAACCAAUCAAGUCUCUAUCUCUUGAUUUCUUAUUUCGCCAAGCAGUUUUGAGUGUCAAGCUCUGCCCAUGCAUUUAGUAUAUACCUGAAAAUCUUCAGAAGAAACCUAAUCCUGCACACAUACCAAUCCAAACAG
Molecule: long non-coding RNA, 11509 nt
Filed under: Sorghum bicolor (sorghum)
Lineage: Eukaryota; Viridiplantae; Streptophyta; Magnoliopsida; Poales; Poaceae
Description: long non-coding RNA (SBIC_LNC011641)
Source: RNAcentral